AGCCUUGAGGUGUUUACAUAUUGGAUUGCAAACCCAAAGUUGCCGAUUAGUCUCGGCCGGGGCUU
RNAcentral lists this transfer RNA (65 nucleotides) under Cheilio inermis. RNAcentral describes it as "tRNA-Cys". Lineage: Eukaryota; Metazoa; Chordata; Actinopteri; Labriformes; Labridae. The record is from RNAcentral.